GGUAGGAAGCCCUCCCUCUCUCUUCCUAGAACAUAAGCCGGGAUCUUUUAUUUCCUGAACAACUGCUCCAUGCCUCCCCCAAGAAAAGAUGCGGGCUCAGUGGAAGCAUCUCAGAUGCUGAAUUCAAGAUGUGGGCCACCAGCUGGCCCUGAGCAAGUUUGUUAUAUGGGAGAGAGUUUCAUUUUCUUGAUAAAAGUCCUUCCACAGAUGUGAAAAGGACUGGGGGCGGGGGCAAGGGAAAUAAAGGAAGGACCAAAUCCUCUCUCAGCAGAAGACAACAGCUAAACUUCCACUCAGUCACUCAGCUGCAGAAGGCAUCAACAAAUCCUACGUGUCUCCACAAAUCCAGAAGAUGAAAUGCUUGUGCUGCUAUAGGAUGCUCCUCUGGAUGGCAGUUCUCUGGGACAGUCAGCAGCAUCUUAUGAUAGAAGACAGAUAUUCCCUGAAAGAGAGACCAGAAAAUAACCGUUUUCUCCUCCUUCCCUUCCUCUCUGCAGGGUUACACCACAUACAAGGAUCUGGUCAUUGUUAUGAAAGGGAUUCUGGAAGUCCCAGCACGCUGUAAUCAGGUGCGAGUUUAAUUGGUAGAGGAACAGCUCACUGGCUUCACAGGUGAGCAGAAGUCAUCAUCCAUGAGCAAACUAAGAGCACGCUCACUGCCUCUGUCAACCACGAAAGAAUAACUCCAGUACCAUUUGUUCCUGGAGCAAAACCAAACACUGCCAAGAGGUGCCAAAGACUGGACCCGUGAGCUCGGUCUGCUGUUAGUACCACUACGCUCAGACAGAAGAUUGCAUACAAGCAGGGUGACGGAAAGGAGAUGUUACACCUCCCAUUUCCCAGACAGAGGAUGGAGAGGCUGUCAAAGAAGCUAUCUGCUGCUACUUGCAGUGAACGCAGCUGCUUUUAGUAGCCAGACUAAAUGCAGAAUGGCACUGUGCCACGGAUGUCCCCUAAAUGACUUUCUCAGGCAGGGACAGAAAAUGAAUCCAGUCAGACGGUCGCCAAAGCCACGGCCUUAACCACAGUUCCCUUUCCGCUGCCUGCUUCUCCCCCAGCCCACUCUCCACAUCCAUGGAGGCAGCUCACACAGGGCGAGGGGAAAAAGGGCUUGGCCGAAUGGCCGUCCUGUGGGAUUCCUUCUGCUUUCCUCACAUUUGGGUCACUGGAGCGCUCAAAAUUCAGCUUUUAACAAAUUUAUCACCUUCAAUCAUUCUCUAUUAGACCUAGUAGCAUUCCUCUAAACUACUGAAAGUCAUUUUACACUGAUUCCUUUGUACUGCACAGUGUGAAAUAACAGAUAUUAUAUGUAACUUGCAAUUGAAGAUUUUGCAAUUGAAGUCACAGCCCCAGAAGCCAAUUAAAAAAUAACACAUUCCGUGAUUUCUUUUGACUAUGAAGAGGGACUGGUUCUGCCAUUUUACUCACUAGAGGUUACAUAUACAUCUCUGUACAUACAGGAGUUACUUAUGGAAAUUACAGCAGCAGAUUGGAGUGAUAAGCAUUGUAAUUUCAGCAAUAGAGCACUGCUGUCACUUUCUGAACUCUGGAUGAAAAAUACCAAAGAACCUAUUUGUGCCCUACUAUGAAGUAAUGAAUAUAUACAAUUUCACAUCUCACAACUAGAAUAGUGCCUGUCAGAAGAUACACUUUGAUUUUUGUUAAGUGCAAAAUUCACAUUUUUGUUUCUGUGCCUUUUUCAGGCAUACAGAACAACAGGGUCCGCAUGUUGUUCUGAGAGAAUCAUGCAAAAAGAAAAUAUUUGUGUCUUCAGGGAAGAGGAAGGAAAAUUUCCUCUUUAUUAUUCCAGGUCUGAUCUCUUAGGUCAUGUAAAACAGACCAGAGCUACCUCUCUAUCUCCUCCUUGUCUUCUCUUGAUAGUUUGCAUUUGCAUGGGACAGGGAAAUAAACACAGUCGUUUCUAAUUUUUCUGCUGCUUAGAUAAGCCUUGAAGUGGCAGUAGGCAUUUGAAGUUCCUUUUUAUCUGACUAAACGGCAGUAAAGGGAAAUCAACAGACAUGGGGCCAAAGUAGGCGUUUGCUCUGGGUCUUUGCAGUCCAUGCUGCUGCAGUGUAAUGGCUGCCAGCCUGUUUCUUUAGAAUGACCACCUCUUGGGCAUCAUUGCUGCAGUACCUUGGAGACUUUUGGCAACCGGGGCAUGUGAGAAUAGCUGACAUGGACACGGUUACUGAAGCUGCUCUCUUUGUUCCUUCUCUCCCACCUUUCCCCUAAGCGCUCUUAGCACAGAAAGUCCUUUGUAUUAAGCUAAGACCUCACAUUAAUUAAAUUUCAAACAACUAGACAAAUACAAUAUUUCAAUUCCACAAUUAAAAAGAAAAACGUUUAUCAUGAACCGACAAUCAUCAGCUAAAUGCUUUGGUUCCUAGGGGAAAACUCACUUAAAUAUAUUGCACUUGACCAGCAUUUCUCUUUCUCUACACUUUAAUGUGUUGGUCAUAAAACAUCCACUAGAGAGGAUACAGGUGCUAUAGAUGAUUGCAUGUAUAGACAGGAAUAGGCAGGAGCCUGAAAGUUCUAUUUAUUGGCUUGGCUGUUUAUCCUUUAGGCUAAGGUUGUAUGCAUUAACCUAACCACUUCCCAGAUUUAUUUUAAAAGGAUAAAUAAAACACAUGCCUAGCAAUGCUAGAAUUUAAAUGAUUCCAGGUGUGGUGCUCAGUGAUCUUUCAGUCAGGCCCUGUAAGAAAUUUGAUUUACUCUGUUUCUGAGAGGCAUGAUGACUUGCCUGAGCUACCCAUGCAGGGAAAUGCCUCUCUGAUGGCACGUCCCAGUGUCCUCUAAAAUGAAGGAGGCCUGCAUGGCUGGCAGCAGAGCAGCUGCCUCCACGUGACACUAGUGCCCCAUGUGCUCAGCCUACUGUACCUCGGUCAACACAGCACGGCCAGGAGCAUCUCUGCAGCAGAAGGGGAGCCAGUGGGACCGGGGUUGACAAAGACACAGCAAGGGAGACAGACAGACCUAUUUGCUUUCCCUCAACAGCCCUCAUAAGCUGCUCAGCUGUAUAACAGUGAUGGCUUAGCACCAGUGACCACACUGAGGGCCAAGGACAAUAGAAACACAUUGUUGAUUGCUCUGUUGAGCUAUCUAUCUGCAGUACAAAGAUAUGUGCUUUCUAAGUACAAAGGUUAGAAAGUAAGAGAAAGAAAAAGGAUCAAGAAAAGGGAUCCAUACCUGAAGGCAGUGGGAUUUACAGCUCAUAUUGACAGAGCUUUUAAUGGAUAAUUCAUUAAUCUGUUUAAUUUACACUUGUACUAGACAUUUAGAGGUCAUUUAACACCUCACUACAUUAUACUGUAUACAAGA
Long non-coding RNA from Numida meleagris (helmeted guineafowl), 3321 nucleotides. RefSeq lists it as uncharacterized. NCBI's taxonomy places the organism in Eukaryota, Metazoa, Chordata, Aves, Galliformes, Numididae. The record is from RefSeq and is a predicted model, not a curated record. The transcript is spliced from 4 exons.